RNAcentral lists this ribosomal RNA (458 nucleotides) under Staphylococcus aureus. RNAcentral describes it as "partial 23S ribosomal RNA". It matches the Rfam family "Bacterial large subunit ribosomal RNA", at positions 1649 to 2106 of the family's 2925-position model. The record is from RNAcentral. Lineage: Bacteria; Bacillati; Bacillota; Bacilli; Caryophanales; Staphylococcaceae.
GCAAACCGACACAGGUAGUCAAGAUGAGAAUUCUAAGGUGAGCGAGCGAACUCUCGUUAAGGAACUCGGCAAAAUGACCCCGUAACUUCGGGAGAAGGGGUGCUCUUUAGGGUUAACGCCCAGAAGAGCCGCAGUGAAUAGGCCCAAGCGACUGUUUAUCAAAAACACAGGUCUCUGCUAAACCGUAAGGUGAUGUAUAGGGGCUGACGCCUGCCCGGUGCUGGAAGGUUAAGAGGAGUGGUUAGCUUCUGCGAAGCUACGAAUCGAAGCCCCAGUAAACGGCGGCCGUAACUAUAACGGUCCUAAGGUAGCGAAAUUCCUUGUCGGGUAAGUUCCGACCCGCACGAAAGGCGUAACGAUUUGGGCACUGUCUCAACGAGAGACUCGGUGAAAUCAUAGUACCUGUGAAGAUGCAGGUUACCCGCGACAGGACGGAAAGACCCCGUGGAGCUUUACUG